UGGGGAAUAUUGCACAAUGGGCGCAAGCCUGAUGCAGCCAUGCCGCGUGUGUGAAGAAGGCCUUCGGGUUGUAAAGCACUUUCAGCGAGGAGGAAGGUGGUGAGCUUAAUACGCUCAUCAAUUGACGUUACUCGCAGAAGAAGCACCGGCUAACUCCGUGCCAGCAGCCGCGGUAAUACGGAGGGUGCAAGCGUUAAUCGGAAUUACUGGGCGUAAAGCGCACGCAGGCGGUUUGUUAAGUCAGAUGUGAAAUCCCCGGGCUCAACCUGGGAACUGCAUUUGAAACUGGCAAGCUAGAGUCUCGUAGAGGGGGGUAGAAUUCCAGGUGUAGCGGUGAAAUGCGUAGAGAUCUGGAGGAAUACCGGUGGCGAAGGCGGCCCCCUGGACGAAGACUGACGCUCAGGUGCGAAAAGCGUGGGGCAGCAAACAGGAUUAGAUACCCUGGUAGUCCAGCGCUGUAAACGAUGUCGAUUUUGGAGGUUGUGCCCUUGAGGCGUGGCUUCCGGAGCUAACGCGUUAAAUCGACCGCCUGGGGAGUACGGCC
RNAcentral lists this ribosomal RNA (544 nucleotides) under uncultured bacterium. RNAcentral's name for it is "partial 16S ribosomal RNA". It matches the Rfam family "Bacterial small subunit ribosomal RNA", at positions 355 to 887 of the family's 1533-position model. The record is from RNAcentral.